RNAcentral lists this small RNA (834 nucleotides) under Pan troglodytes (chimpanzee). RNAcentral's name for it is "retained intron". Lineage: Eukaryota; Metazoa; Chordata; Mammalia; Primates; Hominidae. The record is from RNAcentral.
CCAGAGUGAAUAAUAAUACAAUUUCCAUCUGACUUCCCCCACCCCAGUCUCUUGCAUGGCACCAAGAAUGUUACCAAUUCAAGCAGUUUAAGAUUGCCAAGACAAAAUAGUGAUGGUGGUCAGAAAAAUAAGCCUCGUGAACAUAUUAUAGACUGUGGAGAUAUUGUCUGGAGUCUUGCUUUUGGGUCGUCAGUUCCAGAAAAACAGAGUCGCUGUGUAAAUAUAGAAUGGCAUCGCUUCAGAUUUGGACAAGAUCAGCUACUUCUUGCUACAGGGUUGAACAAUGGGCGUAUCAAAAUAUGGGAUGUAUAUACAGGAAAACUCCUCCUUAACUUGGUAGAUCAUACUGAAGUGGUCAGAGAUUUAACUUUUGCUCCAGAUGGAAGCUUGAUCCUGGUGUCAGCUUCAAGAGACAAAACUCUCAGAGUAUGGGACCUGAAAGAUGAUGGAAACAUGAUGAAAGUAUUGAGGGGGCAUCAGAAUUGGGUGUACAGCUGUGCAUUCUCUCCUGACUCUUCUAUACUGUGUUCAGUCGGAGCCAGUAAAGCAGUUUUCCUUUGGAAUAUGGAUAAAUACACCAUGAUACGGAAACUAGAAGGACAUCACCAUGAUGUGGUAGCUUGUGACUUUUCUCCUGAUGGAGCAUUACUGGCUACUGCAUCUUAUGAUACUCGAGUAUAUAUCUGGGAUCCACAUAAUGGAGACAUUCUGAUGGAAUUUGGGCACCUGUUUCCCCCACCUACUCCAAUAUUUGCUGGAGGAGCAAAUGACCGGUGGGUACGAUCUGUAUCUUUUAGCCAUGAUGGACUGCAUGUUGCAAGCCUUGCUGAUGAU